UAGCUAUCACAUGGGGCUUCAUUCGGGUCCAUUUGGCCCACUAAUUGUCCAAACAAACCCAAAAGGUCAAAAUUAUCCUUCAUGUGCAUGUCUAUCGGGUUUGGCCUUAUUUCUCCAAAUUUUUCUUGUAUGGACAUUUUCCUAUUCCCACGCACUUCUUGCUUAAUAUCUUAGCUAGUCCUCAACCAAAUGUGAGUUUCUAAUCCCAAGUAUUGUAGUAUGGGGACAUAAAUCAAGCUAAAAGGGUUAAAUUAGAGCUCUCUCAAGAACUAUGGCACUAAGGCUUCAAUUUCUUGCAUUUUUCUCUCAAUUGUUCUUCUACACAAGUCUUUGUUUUCUUACAAAUUUCUUUCUCUAUAUGUUAUCUAUGUUUCUUCAAAUAUCAUCCUAAAUUCAAUCAAUCUUGGGCUUAGGAAGUGUUUCAAGCACUUAAGGUCACUUGGGGUUACUCAUAGGAUUUUUCUACCUCUUUCGGGGAAUGUUUCUCCUAAUUCUUAAUCCAAUUACU
RNAcentral lists this long non-coding RNA (508 nucleotides) under Carica papaya (papaya). RNAcentral describes it as "long non-coding RNA (CPAP_LNC009010)". The record is from RNAcentral. Lineage: Eukaryota; Viridiplantae; Streptophyta; Magnoliopsida; Brassicales; Caricaceae.